Molecule: ribosomal RNA, 1551 nt
Filed under: Serratia marcescens
Lineage: Bacteria; Pseudomonadati; Pseudomonadota; Gammaproteobacteria; Enterobacterales; Yersiniaceae
Description: bacterial SSU rRNA
Rfam family: Bacterial small subunit ribosomal RNA
Source: RNAcentral
UUAAUUGAAGAGUUUGAUCAUGGCUCAGAUUGAACGCUGGCGGCAGGCUUAACACAUGCAAGUCGAGCGGUAGCACAAGAGAGCUUGCUCUCUGGGUGACGAGCGGCGGACGGGUGAGUAAUGUCUGGGAAACUGCCUGAUGGAGGGGGAUAACUACUGGAAACGGUAGCUAAUACCGCAUAAUGUCGCAAGACCAAAGAGGGGGACCUUCGGGCCUCUUGCCAUCAGAUGUGCCCAGAUGGGAUUAGCUAGUAGGUGGGGUAAUGGCUCACCUAGGCGACGAUCCCUAGCUGGUCUGAGAGGAUGACCAGCCACACUGGAACUGAGACACGGUCCAGACUCCUACGGGAGGCAGCAGUGGGGAAUAUUGCACAAUGGGCGCAAGCCUGAUGCAGCCAUGCCGCGUGUGUGAAGAAGGCCUUCGGGUUGUAAAGCACUUUCAGCGAGGAGGAAGGUGGUGAGCUUAAUACGUUCAUCAAUUGACGUUACUCGCAGAAGAAGCACCGGCUAACUCCGUGCCAGCAGCCGCGGUAAUACGGAGGGUGCAAGCGUUAAUCGGAAUUACUGGGCGUAAAGCGCACGCAGGCGGUUUGUUAAGUCAGAUGUGAAAUCCCCGGGCUCAACCUGGGAACUGCAUUUGAAACUGGCAAGCUAGAGUCUCGUAGAGGGGGGUAGAAUUCCAGGUGUAGCGGUGAAAUGCGUAGAGAUCUGGAGGAAUACCGGUGGCGAAGGCGGCCCCCUGGACGAAGACUGACGCUCAGGUGCGAAAGCGUGGGGAGCAAACAGGAUUAGAUACCCUGGUAGUCCACGCUGUAAACGAUGUCGAUUUGGAGGUUGUGCCCUUGAGGCGUGGCUUCCGGAGCUAACGCGUUAAAUCGACCGCCUGGGGAGUACGGCCGCAAGGUUAAAACUCAAAUGAAUUGACGGGGGCCCGCACAAGCGGUGGAGCAUGUGGUUUAAUUCGAUGCAACGCGAAGAACCUUACCUACUCUUGACAUCCAGAGAACUUUCCAGAGAUGGAUUGGUGCCUUCGGGAACUCUGAGACAGGUGCUGCAUGGCUGUCGUCAGCUCGUGUUGUGAAAUGUUGGGUUAAGUCCCGCAACGAGCGCAACCCUUAUCCUUUGUUGCCAGCGGUUCGGCCGGGAACUCAAAGGAGACUGCCAGUGAUAAACUGGAGGAAGGUGGGGAUGACGUCAAGUCAUCAUGGCCCUUACGAGUAGGGCUACACACGUGCUACAAUGGCAUAUACAAAGAGAAGCGACCUCGCGAGAGCAAGCGGACCUCAUAAAGUAUGUCGUAGUCCGGAUUGGAGUCUGCAACUCGACUCCAUGAAGUCGGAAUCGCUAGUAAUCGUAGAUCAGAAUGCUACGGUGAAUACGUUCCCGGGCCUUGUACACACCGCCCGUCACACCAUGGGAGUGGGUUGCAAAAGAAGUAGGUAGCUUAACCUUCGGGAGGGCGCUUACCACUUUGUGAUUCAUGACUGGGGUGAAGUCGUAACAAGGUAACCGUAGGGGAACCUGCGGUUGGAUCACCUCCUUACCUAAAGA